GUGAGGAAUAUUGGACAAUGGGCGCAAGCCUGAUCCAGCCAUGCCGCGUGCAGGAAGACGCAUCUAUGGUGUGUAAACUGCUUUUGUACGGGAAGAAACACUCCCUCGUGAGGGAGCUUGACGGUACCGUAAGAAUAAGGAUCGGCUAACUCCGUGCCAGCAGCCGCGGUAAUACGGAGGAUCCAAGCGUUAUCCGGAAUCAUUGGGUUUAAAGGGUCCGUAGGCGGUUUAAUAAGUCAGUGGUGAAAGCCCAUCGCUCAACGAUGGAACGGCCAUUGAUACUGUUAGACUUGAAUUACAAGGAAGUAACUAGAAUAUGUAGUGUAGCGGUGAAAUGCUUAGAUAUUACAUGGAAUACCAAUUGCGAAGGCAGGUUACUACUUGUGGAUUGACGCUGAUGGACGAAAGCGUGGGGAGCGAACAGGAUUAGAUACCCGAGUAGUCC
RNAcentral lists this ribosomal RNA (445 nucleotides) under uncultured bacterium. RNAcentral describes it as "partial 16S ribosomal RNA". It matches the Rfam family "Bacterial small subunit ribosomal RNA", at positions 354 to 796 of the family's 1533-position model. The record is from RNAcentral.